GAUGAAGAACGCAGCGAAAUGCGAUAAGUAAUGUGAAUUGCAGAAUUCAGUGAAUCAUCGAAUCUUUGAACGCACCUUGCGCCCUUUGGCCAUUCCGAAGGGCAUGCCUGUUUGAGUAUCAUGAACACCUCAACUCUUUAUGGUUUUCCAUGAUGAGCUUGGACUCUGGGGGUUUUGCUGGCUCACAGUCGGCUCCUCUAAAAUGAAUCAGCUUACCAGUGUUUGGUGGGUAUCAUGGGUGUGAUAACUAUCUACGCUUGUGGUUUUUCCACCAGGUAACCUUCAGCAGUGGAGGUUCGCUGGAGCUCAUAGAUGUCUCUCCUCCGUGAGGACAGCCCUUUGAAUGUUUGAUCUCAAAUCAGGUAGGACUACCCGCUGAACUUAAGCAUAUCAAUAAGCGGAGGA
Molecule: unclassified non-coding RNA, 405 nt
Filed under: soil metagenome
Description: partial contains 5.8S ribosomal RNA, internal transcribed spacer 2, and large subunit ribosomal RNA
Rfam family: 5.8S ribosomal RNA (bases 1-121)
Source: RNAcentral